RNAcentral lists this non-coding RNA (36 nucleotides) under Sus scrofa (pig). The record is from RNAcentral. RNAcentral also lists the same sequence under 2 other names. Lineage: Eukaryota; Metazoa; Chordata; Mammalia; Artiodactyla; Suidae.
AAAAAAAAAAAAAAAAAAAAAAAAAAAAAAAAAAAA